AUUGAACGCUGGCGGCAUGCCUUACACAUGCAAGUCGAACGGCAGCACGGGAGCAAUCCUGGUGGCGAGUGGCGAACGGGUGAGUAAAGUAUCGGAACGUGCCCAGUCGUGGGGGAUAACGUAGCGAAAGUUACGCUAAUACCGCAUACGAUCUAUGGAUGAAAGCGGGGGAUCGCAAGACCUCGCGCGAUUGGAGCGGCCGAUGUCAGAUUAGGUAGUUGGUGGGGUAAAGGCUCACCAAGCCGACGAUCUGUAGCUGGUCUGAGAGGACGACCAGCCACACUGGGACUGAGACACGGCCCAGACGCCUACGGGAGGCAGCAGUGGGGAAUUUUGGACAAUGGGCGAAAGCCUGAUCCAGCCAUGCCGCGUGCAGGAUGAAGGCCUUCGGGUUGUAAACUGCUUUUGUACGGAACGAAAAGGUUUGGCCUAAUAAGCUGAGCUCAUGACGGUACCGUAAGAAUAAGCACCGGCUAACUACGUGCCAGCAGCCGCCGUAA
This 500-nucleotide ribosomal RNA is filed under the name uncultured bacterium. RNAcentral's name for it is "partial 16S ribosomal RNA". It matches the Rfam family "Bacterial small subunit ribosomal RNA", at positions 30 to 523 of the family's 1533-position model. The record is from RNAcentral.